Molecule: ribosomal RNA, 914 nt
Filed under: Sympagella nux
Lineage: Eukaryota; Metazoa; Porifera; Hexactinellida; Lyssacinosida; Rossellidae
Description: small subunit ribosomal RNA
Source: RNAcentral
UCCUAUAAAUUUAAGAGGAAUAAGAAAAUAUAAAUUAUAGAUGUACAUGCCAACUAAAUAGUAAACAAGUGAAAAAUAAUAAAUAUUUUAUAAAUACAAUCAGAUUAAUAAAGAUAAACAAUAACAUUGCAUAAAAACUAUCAAUUAGAUCACAUCUUAAAGGCAACACAUAACAUUGUGCAAUAUGCAAAAGCAUGACACAGCAUAAAUUAAAUAAUAAGAACAGGCAAAGAAUGUGCCAGCAGCUGCGGUUAAACAUUCUGUACUAAUUUUCAAGUUCUAACAAAUAUAAAAGAAUAUUAAUCAAAUAGAAAAUUGAACAACAACCAAUAAAUAGUAUAAUAUGAAAAUAAUAACUCAACCCAUUUAUUUUCUUAAUAAUAAUUCCUUUACAUAAAAGCAUAGAUAACAAAGAGGAUUAGAUACCCUCGUAGCCUAUGCCCUAAAUUCAAAAAAGUAUGCUCGCAAGACAGAAACUUAAUAAACUUGAGAGAGUAAUAAAAUUCGGGGAGGCGUAUACUUUAAUUCGAAAUUACACGACAACCUUACCUAAAUUCAAAAGCAGAAUAUCUCCGUAUAUUAUUUUUAUAAAAAUAAUAUUUAUACACACACAAGAAAUAUACCGGUCACCACUCUCUUUAUAUUUAGGGCUAGUAAGCACCACAAACUAUUAACAAGAAAUAAUAGCCCCAUAACUUGAAAAAAUACAAGGAGAACUCGAAAGUAAUUAUUUUUCAUGAAAAAAUAAUGAAACAAAAACAAUAAACUGCUACAUACCGCCCGUCAAUUCUUAAGAAUAUUAACAAACCAUAAACGUUAAAAUUACUAAACAUUAAUAAUUUACCAUUAUCCAUAAAAAAAAUUAAGAAUAAGUCGUAACAAGGUAGCUGUAUUUGAAAAUGCGGCUGAAAAUA